CUUUUGGGUGGUGUUUGGUUCACAGAUCUGAUCAUGGGAUGUAUAGCCUGCCUAAGACUCUUACACAUGUGACAAUGUUAGCUAUCCCUGGAAUUCAAAAAGCUAAGCGGCUUGGAAAUUUUUUCACCUUUCACGUUCCCUUAGUUUAACAGUUUCACAUUGAUCCAUAGUGUUUCAAAAAUUCUUGAGUUUAACUGAUUGACUUAGUUGUUUUGCAGAACAGUCUUUGCAUAAAAGAAAAAAGGCCAACUUCCUACUACGCUAAAAUAAUUAAAGGUUGCCUGGAAAUUCAUCAGUUACCAGGAACACUAGUGAUGGGCAGAAGCUAUCCCGUUCUGAGAUGUUUUCCUCUCAGGGCUCAUGACAAACACGUUGUACAUUCCAAGAGCACCAUCAGAACACCAACAGCCGUGCCCAAAACCAUCCCCCAAAUACUGGGUGGAAGCAAAUAUACGUUUCCCUCAGUUUGUCAAAUCCUCGCUGGCAAAACUGAAUGCAGACUAAACAGACCGUUACAAUUUACAUCUUCCCCACAGUCCACACAGAGGAGAUAUUUUUAACCUUUUACAUUCACAUUAGCAUGCUUCGGUGCGAUAGCAGUUAGAGGAAAAGGCAGAAUUGUGAGGCCUCAGAGAUGUCUCAGUCCAGGUCUGAAUGUGGAGCCAAUCUGCUGACUGACCUAGCAGUGCUGUGCAAAUGGACCUGGGGAUGGUGAAACAGCCGUCCUGCUGGUGAAUGUAAUCGAAGGAGUCUGACGAGUCACAUUCCUUAGGUCGCACCACCAUCAAAUGUUUGGGCGUAGAAAAGGAAAUCAAAUGGAUCUUACAGUAAAAUGAACUAACUGAAGUGGUCGCAUGUUUCCCUGUGUCUUACUGGAUUUGUCAGGCGGGGACUUUAUAAUAGAAGCCCAGGCUGAAAGGCUCUUAUCAACAGAGGCCAGCAUGGGAUGUGAUUACAGAGCAUUUACCUAAAGCAGACAUUAUGCAGAGGAGUAAUGUGAUGCAAACUGAAAGCUUGGUGUCUUGUGAUGGAUGGAGACUUAACAUUCCUGUGCGUUCCCAGAAUAAACAACCACACACAGCUAUGUUUAUAUCACAAUUAUUUUACAAUGAAGGCUGUGGUCUGGUUUGAUAAAGCUUUAUUUUCUCCUGCUAUGAGAGUUUCCAGCUGUUCUGCUUUAUGGUACAAUACAGAAGUAAACAAUUCAUAUAAAACAAAACUGAGAAGUUUUUUGUUUUUUUUAUCACAGAUAUUUGUCUAGCCUUUUGCUUCGUCACUGCUAAUGGAUUCAAUACCUUCAACAUUUGGGGGAAAUAUCAUCAUUAUCAACAUCAUCAUGUUCAAACUUUAAAUAAAUUACACAUCAAAGCAGUGCUUGUAAGGGUUUCAACCAAACUGCAUAAAUAUACAUUAGAAGUCUUAAAAAAAGAAAAGAAAAAUAGAAUCUACACUCUUUAAAAAGACACCAUGAGUGGUGGAUCAUGACCAGACCAUAAUAUUAGACUGGAGCCUUCAUGCUGAAGUGGACAGAGUCUAUAAAUCCCAAAAUGCACCCUAAUCCCUACAGAAGUGGACUACUUCCAACUGGACCAAUGGUAAGAAGCCAUGUCAAAGCCAGAAUGGGCCGAUCGCCCUUAGAUUAUGAUGGAGCCCUAUAGGCCCGCACUGGGGAACAGUAGUGAAUUAGAUUAGUGAACAGGGUGUGGUUUUGGACACACCGAUGCUGUGGUCCGCUACAGCAGCCUGGCAGGAACUGUCAGUCAGCCAGCUAGACAGUCAGUCAGCUUUCGGCAUUCUUGGCUUCACAGCUCAGUCUGCUAGAGUUGCUAAUCCAAUGAAACCGAGCAGUCAUUUGACCAGGAGGCUGAAACACAGUUUUAACUACUAAGCGAAGACUGUUGGAGUACAUGUCCACACACACAAAGGCCACCAGUCGUCGCACACAGUUGCACACACGCAUUUAUAGAUGUGGCGUGAGCGGCAACAGAAAGACGAGUCCAGUUCCCCAAAUUACAUGGCAGUAACAACACAACUGCUUUCUUUUCUCAUUUAACAC
Molecule: long non-coding RNA, 2056 nt
Organism: Esox lucius (northern pike)
Lineage: Eukaryota; Metazoa; Chordata; Actinopteri; Esociformes; Esocidae
Source: Ensembl